CUGUUUAUUCUCUGCCUGCUUUCCUUGUGUCUCUCGUUGUUUCUCUCUAAAUCUCCAUCUUUCCCUCUCUGUCCCUCUCCCCCUCCCUCCUUUCCUCUCUGUCUUUGUAACUCUCCCUCAAUUUUACUCAUUUUAGUGGUUCACUCUUUGGAUCUAGGACCUUGGUCAGCAUGAGCAUUGCACUCACAGAGAGGGUGACACGUUUCCUGAUGCCUGAAAGAGAGAAAUAAGAUGGCCCAGGAGACUCCAGGGCACUCUGCCCACUAAGCAUCUUUUUGUGAGUGAGAGGCCAUUUCUCCAGCUGUCCAUUGCAGCAUUCCACAACCCAGACUGCUGCUGUCCAUGCUGAUUGGUGUUUGAGAGGGCAGAAUGGACCCCUGAUUCACUUCCCAUCAGGAACACUUGCCACCAGGAAACCCCCUCAAUCUACUCUUCCCUUGCCCUUUAAGACCUUCUAUUUCAGGGUCCUCCCCCUGCCAGAUUGAAAGAUGACAGACUGAGGACAAGCCCUAAGGGGACAGAGAGUCUAAGGCUCCAUGUUCCAACUCUGCAAGCCCCACCUCAGCUCAACUCAACACCUUAGACCUUC
This 589-nucleotide long non-coding RNA is filed under the name Homo sapiens (human). Its description in RNAcentral is "HSALNT0249015". The record is from RNAcentral. Lineage: Eukaryota; Metazoa; Chordata; Mammalia; Primates; Hominidae.